AGUAAAGUCAGCUAAACAAGCUUUCGGGCCCAUACCCCGAACAUGAUGGUUAAAAACCCUCCUCUACUA
This 69-nucleotide transfer RNA is filed under the name Neoheterandria tridentiger. RNAcentral describes it as "tRNA-Met". The record is from RNAcentral. Lineage: Eukaryota; Metazoa; Chordata; Actinopteri; Cyprinodontiformes; Poeciliidae.